RNAcentral lists this ribosomal RNA (445 nucleotides) under uncultured bacterium. RNAcentral's name for it is "partial 16S ribosomal RNA". It matches the Rfam family "Bacterial small subunit ribosomal RNA", at positions 354 to 796 of the family's 1533-position model. The record is from RNAcentral.
GUGAGGAAUAUUGGUCAAUGGGCGGGAGCCUGAACCAGCCAAGUCGCGUGAAGGAAGAAGGAUCUAUGGUUCGUAAACUUCUUUUGCAGGGGAAUAAAGUGCAGGACGUGUCCUGUUUUGUAUGUACCCUGAGAAUAAGGAUCGGCUAACUCCGUGCCAGCAGCCGCGGUAAUACGGAGGAUCCGAGCGUUAUCCGGAUUUAUUGGGUUUAAAGGGUGCGCAGGCGGGUUGAUAAGUCAGCGGUGAAAGUUUGCAGCUUAACUGUAAAAUUGCCGUGGAAACUGGCGAUCUUGAGUGCAAAUGAGGUAAGCGGAAUGUGUUGUGUAGCGGUGAAAUGCUUAGAUAUAACACAGAACACCGAUUGCGAAGGCAGCUUACUGGGAUGCAACUGACACUGAUGCACGAAAGCGUGGGUAUCAAACAGGAUUAGAAACCCUGGUAGUCC